Molecule: long non-coding RNA, 364 nt
Organism: Vombatus ursinus (common wombat)
Lineage: Eukaryota; Metazoa; Chordata; Mammalia; Diprotodontia; Vombatidae
Exons: 3
Source: RefSeq, a predicted model, not a curated record
GCUGGCAGUACUGAAUUUCGGCCUUGAGGUCCCGCAGGUCUUGGUAUUCCCCCCGGUACUGCUUCUUCAGUUCCUUCAGCUUCAGAAUUAAGGGAGUCCACACUAGAGUAAUUGGGAUGAAGAGGAAUCCCCACCAAACAUGUAUCAAAUGGUCCCCAGCUUGGUCCUGCAGCCUGGGCUUCCAAGCUGCACCACUGAAGAAGCACUGAGAUAGGAAAAGGUGUCUGAGAAACUUGGUGCGAAUCGACUGCCCCAAGAUAAGGAGAAGACGUAAGCAUUCUGCCCCAAUGCAAGAAGCCACCUUCUCUGGAAAAGGUCUGGUGAUGGAGAAUCCCAAGCAGGAGUUCCAGUCUAGAAAAGCCCU